UACGGGGGGAGCAAGCGUUGUUCGGAUUUACUGGGCUUAAAGGGCGCGUAGGCGGUCGAUCAAGUCAGGGGUGAAAUCCUGCAGCUUAACUGUAGAAGUGCCUUUGAUACUGGUCGUCUCGAGGGAGGUAGGGGUGUGUGGAACUUCCAGUGGAGCGGUGAAAUGCGUUGAUAUUGGAAGGAACGCCGGAGGCGAAAGCGACGCACUGGACCUCUUCUGACGCUGAGGCGCGAAAGCUAGGGGAGCAAACGGG
RNAcentral lists this ribosomal RNA (253 nucleotides) under uncultured bacterium. RNAcentral's name for it is "partial 16S ribosomal RNA". It matches the Rfam family "Bacterial small subunit ribosomal RNA", at positions 524 to 776 of the family's 1533-position model. The record is from RNAcentral.